RNAcentral lists this ribosomal RNA (870 nucleotides) under Didymellaceae sp. RNAcentral describes it as "partial large subunit ribosomal RNA". It matches the Rfam family "Eukaryotic large subunit ribosomal RNA", at positions 55 to 943 of the family's 3401-position model. The record is from RNAcentral. Lineage: Eukaryota; Fungi; Ascomycota; Dothideomycetes; Pleosporales; Didymellaceae.
GGAAAAGAAACCAACAGGGAUUGCCCUAGUAACGGCGAGUGAAGCGGCAACAGCUCAAAUUUGAAAUCUGGCGUCUUUGGCGUCCGAGUUGUAAUUUGCAGAGGGCGCUUUGGCAUUGGCAGCGGUCCAAGUUCCUUGGAACAGGACGUCACAGAGGGUGAGAAUCCCGUACGUGGUCGCUAGCCUUUACCGUGUAAAGCCCCUUCGACGAGUCGAGUUGUUUGGGAAUGCAGCUCUAAAUGGGAGGUAAAUUUCUUCUAAAGCUAAAUACUGGCCAGAGACCGAUAGCGCACAAGUAGAGUGAUCGAAAGAUGAAAAGCACUUUGGAAAGAGAGUUAAAAAGCACGUGAAAUUGUUGAAAGGGAAGCGCUUGCAGCCAGACUUGCCUGUAGUUGCUCAUCCGGGUUUUUACCCGGUGCACUCUUCUAUAGGCAGGCCAGCAUCAGUUUGGGCGGUUGGAUAAAGGUCUCUGUCAUGUACCUCUCUUCGGGGAGAACUUAUAGGGGAGACGACAUGCAACCAGCCUGGACUGAGGUCCGCGCAUCUGCUAGGAUGCUGGCGUAAUGGCUGUAAGCGGCCCGUCUUGAAACACGGACCAAGGAGUCUAACAUCUAUGCGAGUGUUUGGGUGUCAAGCCCGAGCGCGUAAUGAAAGUGAACGGAGGUGGGAACCUUUCGGGGUGCACCAUCGACCGAUCCUGAUGUCUUCGGAUGGAUUUGAGUAAGAGCAUAGCUGUUGGGACCCGAAAGAUGGUGAACUAUGCUUGAAUAGGGUGAAGCCAGAGGAAACUCUGGUGGAGGCUCGCAGCGGUUCUGACGUGCAAAUCGAUCGUCAAAUUUGGGCAUAGGGGCGAAAGACUAAUCGAACUAU